GCACGGGAGCAAUCCUGGUGGCGAGUGGCGAACGGGUGAGUAAUAUAUCGGAACGUGCCCAGUCGUGGGGGAUAACGCAGCGAAAGCUGUGCUAAUACCGCAUACGAUCUACGGAUGAAAGCGGGGGAUCGCAAGACCUCGCGCGAUUGGAGCGGCCGAUAUCAGAUUACCUAGUUGGUGGGGUAAAAGCCCACCAAGGCGACGAUCUGUAGCUGGUCUGAGAGGACGACCAGCCACACUGGAACUGAGACACGGUCCAGACUCCUACGGGAGGCAGCAGUGCGGAAUUUUGGACAAUGCGCGCAAGCCUGAUCCAGCAAUGCCGCGUGCAGGACGAAGGCCUUCGGGUUGUAAACUGCUUUUGUACGGAGCGAAACGGCUUCCCUUAAUACGGGGAGCUAAUGACGGUACCGUAAGAAUAAGCACCGGCUAACUACGUGCCAGCAGCCGCGGUAAUACGUAGGGUGCGAGCGUUAAUCGGAAUUACUGGGCGUAAAGCGUGCGCAGGCGGUUAUAUAAGACAGAUGUGAAAUCCCCGGGCUCAACCUGGGACCUGCCUUUGUGACUGUAUAGCUAGAGUACGGUAGAGGGGGAUGGAAUUCCGUCGUGUAGCAGUGAAAUGCGUAGA
RNAcentral lists this ribosomal RNA (628 nucleotides) under Pseudomonadota bacterium. RNAcentral describes it as "bacterial SSU rRNA". It matches the Rfam family "Bacterial small subunit ribosomal RNA", at positions 71 to 694 of the family's 1533-position model. Lineage: Bacteria; Pseudomonadati; Pseudomonadota. The record is from RNAcentral.